AAUCUAGAUAUUUUGUUAAGAUAAGAUGUAGAUAUUGAUAAAAUGGUUUCAAAACAAUUUAGAAGCGGAAUCAAAAGAGGCCAAAGCAGUAAUACAAACCCAAGGGCUCUAGAAAAGGCCAAUGAUGUAGAGAAGAACCCAGGCCCUAAAAGUCCUAAAAAGGAUGUUUCUUUACAGACUCGUCGAUCUAGCCGAAGCCGAAGUAUAUCUGUUCAACGAAAACCAUCAGAAGUUGUGAAUGUUACUCCUUGCAGUGCUACCGUAGACUUAAAGGAAACUGUUAACGAUAAUCCAAGAAGGGAUUCAGCGCUUUCUACAGCAUCAACAGGAAAAGAACAGGAUAAAAUUUCAAGACUUGAGUCCGAAAUUGCUUUACUCCAAGUAACUUUAGAAGGUAUUGACAACAAUGUGCUAAAACUACAGAGUUCAGUUGAUCAGCUUCGGCCGAUCUAUAAUGAUGCUAAAUUAGCCUUAGGAAGUAUAACAUCUCAGCAGCAGAAGAACAAUCUAGUCUUCUACGGGAUAGCUCCAGACCCGCUGGAGAUUGAUAUGAUGUCUGAGCCCGACUUUUGUCGAGAUAUCCUUGAAACCAGGAUCAAGGGGAUCCUGAGGGAACAUCUUAAAAUAUCAAGGGACAUCCCUUUCCAUCAGGUUGCCAGGAUACAUAGUGCAAGGCCAGUUAAUGGUGUCCAACCUAUUGUCGCCUGCUUUGCAAAUUGGAAAGAUAAAGAAAACAUUCUACGACAGGGGAAGUUACUGAAAGGGGCUGGCAUUAACAUCACUGAAGACAUAUCUAACAAAUCAUUUAGUUCAGGAGUAAAAGUUUCUGGGUCUAACAAUAAUAAGACGAGGACAAGUGUUGAUGAGACUAGCGGGGAUGAAACCAAUAGAGAGGAAAGAGAGCUUGCAAAUGGAUACACAUCUUCAUCUGCUAGUGGCACUGAAUAGUAAUCAUCAAUAUCAUUAUUAUUAUCAUUAUACAUAUGGGUUUAAAUUUAUAUAGAAGGAAGUGAUUACCAAUUAAACUCUUAUAUCAUGAAAAUUUAAAAUCAGAACUUUUGUGGUACAGCUAAACCACAACUUUGAAGGCAUCAAAAGAGUUUAUAAAAUGUCGUCUUGGCAGUUUUUUUAAUCUCUCCAUAAUAUUAUAUCCAACCUCAGAAGUGUACCUCGUAGACCAGGGAAGACCCUUGAUUCUGUGAAUUCUAUAAAUUCUGCUGAUGAGUAUCAAAGGUGUAUCAGGGUGUAAACAUAUAGGGAUUAAAAACUAGAGUUUGAGUUGAGGCCAGUGUUAUCCUUUUCUUUAAUGUUUCUAUAUAUAUUGUUUACUAGACUUUUAGGGUGCUUCGCGCCCAUCUUCUAUUUCAGAAUUUAAUUGUGCACG
Molecule: RNA transcript, 1384 nt
Organism: Eurytemora carolleeae
Lineage: Eukaryota; Metazoa; Arthropoda; Copepoda; Calanoida; Temoridae
Exons: 13
Source: RefSeq, a predicted model, not a curated record